RNAcentral lists this small nucleolar RNA (68 nucleotides) under Anisakis simplex (herring worm). RNAcentral's name for it is "Small nucleolar RNA sn668". It matches the Rfam family "Small nucleolar RNA sn668". The record is from Rfam by way of RNAcentral. Lineage: Eukaryota; Metazoa; Nematoda; Chromadorea; Rhabditida; Anisakidae.
GGUCGAUGAUGGUGUUUCAAGACGGGGAUGACUUGUGGUUGAUUAUAAUUGUCACAAUUUCUGAGACC